UACGUAGGGUGCAAGCGUUGUCCGGAAUUAUUGGGCGUAAAGAGCUCGUAGGCGGCGUGUCACGUCGGUUGUGAAAGCCCGGGGCUCAACCCCGGAACUGCAUUCGAUACUGCUGCGCUAGAGUACUGGAGAGGAGAUUGGAAUUUACGGUGUAGCAGUGAAAUGCGUAGAUAUCGUAAGGAAGACCAGUGGCGAAGGCGGAUCUCUGGACAGUUACUGACACUGAGGCACGAAGGCCAGGGGAGCAAACGGG
RNAcentral lists this ribosomal RNA (253 nucleotides) under uncultured bacterium. RNAcentral describes it as "partial 16S ribosomal RNA". It matches the Rfam family "Bacterial small subunit ribosomal RNA", at positions 524 to 776 of the family's 1533-position model. The record is from RNAcentral.